This 266-nucleotide ribosomal RNA is filed under the name uncultured prokaryote. RNAcentral describes it as "partial 16S ribosomal RNA". It matches the Rfam family "Bacterial small subunit ribosomal RNA", at positions 524 to 789 of the family's 1533-position model. The record is from RNAcentral.
UACGGAGGAUGCGAGCGUUAUCCGGAUUUAUUGGGUUUAAAGGGUGCGCAGGCGGGAGAUUAAGUCGGCGGUGAAAUUUUGCAGCUCAACUGUAAAAGUGCCUUCGAAACUGGUUUCCUUGAGUGUAGAUGAAGUAGGCGGAAUUUGUGGUGUAGCGGUGAAAUGCUUAGAUAUCACGAGGAACUCCGAUUGCGCAGGCAGCUUACUAAACCACUACUGACGCUCAUGCACGAAGGCGUGGGGAUCAAACAGGAUUAGAUACCCGU